AUUGCAGGCUGCAACCCGCCUGCAUGAAGUCGGAAUUGCUAGUAAUCGCGGAUCAGCAUGCCGCGGUGAAUACGUUCCCGGGCCUUGUACACACCGCCCCGUCACACCAUGGGAGCCGGUAAUACCCGAAGUCAGUAGUCCAACCUCGUGAGGACGCUGCCGAAGGUAGGAUUGGCGACUGGGGUGAAGUCGUAACAAGGUAGC
Molecule: ribosomal RNA, 204 nt
Filed under: uncultured bacterium
Lineage: Bacteria
Description: partial 16S ribosomal RNA
Rfam family: Bacterial small subunit ribosomal RNA
Source: RNAcentral